This 300-nucleotide ribosomal RNA is filed under the name uncultured crenarchaeote. RNAcentral describes it as "bacterial SSU rRNA". It matches the Rfam family "Archaeal small subunit ribosomal RNA", at positions 206 to 508 of the family's 1478-position model. Lineage: Archaea; Thermoproteati; Thermoproteota. The record is from RNAcentral.
AGGAUGGGACUGCGACUGAUCAGGCUGUUGGCGGGGUAAUGGCCCACCAAACCAAUAACCAGUACGGGCCUUGAGAGAGGGGGCCCGGAGAUGGUCACUGAGAGAAGGGUCCAGGUUCUGCGGGGCGCAGCAGGCGCGAAACUUCGCAAUGCGCGAAAGCGUGACGAGGUUAAUCCGAGUGGUUCCCGCUGAGGGAAUCUUUUGUCGGCUCUAAAAAGGGCGGCGAAUAAGGGGAGGGCAAGUCUGGUGUCACCCGCCGCGGUAAUACCCGCUCCUCGAGAGGGCGGGGCGAUUAUUGGG